RNAcentral lists this ribosomal RNA (397 nucleotides) under Lebinthus villemantae. RNAcentral describes it as "partial 12S ribosomal RNA". The record is from RNAcentral. Lineage: Eukaryota; Metazoa; Arthropoda; Insecta; Orthoptera; Gryllidae.
UAUUAUAUUUAAUAUAUUUAUUAAAUACUUGGGUAGUAUUAGUUUUGCUUGAAACCCAAAGAAUUUGGCGGUAUUUUAGUCUUUUCAGAGGAAUCUGUCCUGUAAUUGAUAAUACACGAUUUGUUUUACUUGAUUUUGUUAUCAGUUUAUAUACCGCCGUCAUAAGAUUAUUUUUGGUAAAGAAUUAAAUUUUCUUGUUUUUAUAGUAAAUUAUAUGUCAGGUCAAGGUGUAGCUUAUAAUUAAGUGGAGAUGGAUUACAAUAAUAGUAAUUAUAUGGAUAAUUAAUUUAAGUUUGAUUUGAAGGUGGAUUUGAUUGUAAAUUUAUUUUUAAUUUUUAUAUUGAUUAAAGCUCUAAAAUGUGUACAUAUCGCCCGUCGCUCUCGUUAUUAAGGUGAG